Molecule: ribosomal RNA, 1077 nt
Filed under: uncultured Hydrogenobaculum sp.
Lineage: Bacteria; Pseudomonadati; Aquificota; Aquificia; Aquificales; Aquificaceae
Description: bacterial SSU rRNA
Rfam family: Bacterial small subunit ribosomal RNA
Source: RNAcentral
AAUACCCUAUAUUGCCUUUUGUCACUAAGGCAAAAGGUGAAAGCGAGGCUGUCAAAGGCUUCGGCUCAAAGAGGGGUUCGCGUCCUAUCAGGUAGUUGGUGGGGUAAUGGCCUACCAAGCCAAUGACGGGUAGCUGGUCUUAGAGGAUGAUCAGCACAGUGGGACUGAGACACGGCCCGCACCCCUACGGGGGGCAGCAGUGGGGAAUCGUGGGCAAUGGGCGCAAGCCUGACCCCGCAAUGCCGCGUGAGGGAAGAAGCCCUUCGGGGUGUAAACCUCUGUCAGAUGGGAAGAUGAGACUAGGGGCUAAUACCUCCUGGUCUUGACGGUACCAUCAGAGGAAGGGACGGCUAACUACGUGCCAGCAGCCGCGGUAAUACGUAGGUCCCGAGCGUUGCGCGAUGUUACUGGGCGUAAAGCGUCCGUAGCUGGUUUCGUAAGCGGAUUGUCAAAGCCCGAAGCUCAACUUCGGCAAGGCAUUCCGAACUGCGUUACUUGAGUCCUGUUCAGGUAGGCGGAACUCCCGGUGUAGCGGUGAAAUGCGUAGAUAUCGGGAGGAACACCAGUGGCGAAGGCGGCCUACUGGGACGGUACUGACGGUCAUGGACGAAAGCUGGGGGAGCAAACCGGAUUAGAUACCCGGGUAGUCCCAGCCGUAAACGAUGGAUGUUAGGUGUAGUGAUAACUUCGCUGCACCCCAGCUAACGCGUUAAACAUCCCGCCUGGGGAGUACGGGCGCAAGCCUGAAACUCAAAGGAAUUGGCGGGGGCCCGCACAACCGGUGGAGCGUUUGGUUUAAUUCGAUGCUAACCGAAAAACCUUACCAGGGUUUGAAAUGGUAGGAAAGGCUGUCGAAAGAUAGCCGGGUUUCCCUUUUGGGAGAAAUCCUACCGCAGGUGGUGCAUGGCCGUCGUCAGCUCGUGUUGUGAGAUGUUGGGUUAAGUCCCGCGACGAGCGCAACCCUUGUCCUUAUUUGCUUCCUCUUAUGAGGUGCUCUAUAAGGAGACUGCCGGCGACAAGCCGGAGGAAGGAGGGGACGACGUCAGGUCAGUAUGCCCUUUAUGCUCUGGGCUACAC